UUAGCCGUUAACACAGGCAGUCAUCAUAACCCACUGCCCGCCAGAGAAGUACAAGCGAAAAGCUGGAAACUCAAAGGACUUGGCGGUACCCCACACCGGCCUAGAGGAGCCUGUCCCAUAAUCGAUACUCCACGCUAAACCUAACCAGCUCUUGACAACCAGCCUAUAUACCGCCGUCGCCAGCUUGCCUAAUGAUAGAUACACAGCAGGCACAACAGCCCACACUAAUACGUCAGGUCAAGGUGUAGCUUAUGAGCCGGGUAAAGAUGGGCUACAUUUUCUACGGUACAAGAAAACCCACCACAAGCUCAUUGAAAUUCUGAGCCAAAAGGCGGAUUUAGCAGUAAGUCAGACAAGUCAAGUCUAACUGAAACCAGCUCUGGGGUAU
This 388-nucleotide ribosomal RNA is filed under the name Ptyodactylus oudrii. RNAcentral's name for it is "partial 12S ribosomal RNA". It matches the Rfam family "Bacterial small subunit ribosomal RNA", at positions 796 to 1382 of the family's 1533-position model. The record is from RNAcentral. Lineage: Eukaryota; Metazoa; Chordata; Lepidosauria; Squamata; Phyllodactylidae.